Molecule: ribosomal RNA, 253 nt
Filed under: uncultured bacterium
Lineage: Bacteria
Description: partial 16S ribosomal RNA
Rfam family: Bacterial small subunit ribosomal RNA
Source: RNAcentral
UACGUAGGGUGCUAGCGUUGUCCGGAUUUAUUGGGCGUAAAGGGCUCGUAGGCGGUCUGUCGCGUCGGCUGUGAAACCCCGAGGCUCAACCUCGGGCCUGCAGUCGAUACGGGCAGACUGGAGUUCGGCAGGGGAGACUGGAAUUCCUGGUGUAGCGGUGAAAUGCGCAGAUAUCAGGAGGAACACCGGUGGCGAAGGCGGGUCUCUGGGCCGAUACUGACGCUGAGGAGCGAAAGCGUGGGGAGCGAACAGG